Molecule: long non-coding RNA, 1685 nt
Organism: Girardinichthys multiradiatus
Lineage: Eukaryota; Metazoa; Chordata; Actinopteri; Cyprinodontiformes; Goodeidae
Exons: 2
Source: RefSeq, a predicted model, not a curated record
GGAGGGGAGUUAUCCCUGCUGCUGCUCGCAGGAGAGGAAGUUCUGCCAUCAAAACGAAAUUCGGCGCUUUUAUUUUUGCCUGCUUCCCAGGUUUUAGCGGCAUGUUUUUCUGUGCGCUCUGUCCGCUGUCGGGAGCGUGUUUUCACCUGGCACCUGCGUGCGAGCGCACGUAACUCAGAGUAUGAGGAGUGUGUUUUCGUGCAGUUUUUGUCAAGUUUGGGCAUAGAAAGUAGAGUAGCGACGACACUUCGGUAAAGUUAGAAAGAUAUUCACAGAUUCGGCUUUUCCGGAUCAAUAACUCAUCAGCGGAACAUUGCCUCUAGAAAACCAACACCUCUCUGCAACCACAGCAAGGCAGACAGUGAGCAUUUUCCUCAAAACGAGCCUAACACCGCGCUGAGAGACUUGCAUUGGCCUCUAUGCAGAGAUCGCUGCUCCUCAAAGGCGCAGGGACCGUCUGCAAAUUGCAACACCAGAAAAAUAUGAUGGAGAAAUAUUCAAUAAAGUCGCCAAGGAGAGGGCAGCAAUGACAGGAUGGAGCAGGUCCCCAUUUCCACAGAAGGAGCAGAACAUAUACCUUGAAUCUUAAAAGAAACAAAGAGUAUAAAAUAACCUAUGAUUAUUAUUAGUUACAGAAUAAAUACAUUUUAUUGCCUGAUCCUUUGAGAAUUUCUUCUGCCAUGUCUUGUCUGAGUGUUUUAAUGCACCUUUUAGAUGAUUUGACGUGGAAGUACUUUGGUAUGUUGGGAAAUUCAAUCACCAUCAUCUUGGCCGUCUGUAUGAAAAGCUAACAAGCACAUGUAUUAUGUUUGAUCCCACACUGUAAAAUAUUUAUUUAUCAACAAUAUCAAAAAAUGGUGUGUAUAAUUACCUCCAUGGAUUAUCAUCCCAGGCUGUCACUUGAUGUUAACCCAGUCUGCUUUGCCAAGUCUAUUCCGGCACAUCUUGAAGUACUGUCUACGGGAAUCAAGCAUAAUUUAUUUUGACUUACCAAGGUUUGUAUUGUUCUGCUGUAAAAAACGUUGGUGUAAAAUGUCAGUUUUUAAAAAUACUGAAAAACAAUUCUGAAGUCUUUAGCCAGCCUUCAUGGAGUCCACAGCCUCAUUUGACCCUUGCAGAGGAUCGACCACAAAAAUGUGGUUUGAAAGGGCAUGGAGAUACUGUUUGAACAAGGUGCAUAUCACUGAACAACAAUCAUAUUCAAACAGUAACAAAAAACAACAAUGCAACAAUGGUAUAUAAACACAUAGUAUGAAUUAAUACACCAUACACUUGUGAAAUCAAUGUUAACUCAACUUUGAAAUGUAUCUAAGAAACAGUGUUUUACAGUUAUAGUAAAAUUAUGGUUACAAGUCAUGAAGAAAAUGUAUAAUUUGGUCAUUUAAAACUGGACUGUAAUGGGACUUCUCAUAUCUGUUACUGCUUGUUUUGCUCCUCAAAAUAUAACAAAUAACACAUUGUUAAUUUAUUUAUUACUGUAUUAUGAAUCUACUAUACAUAAAAUCAGAUUUUUGUGGUCGAUCCUCUGCAAGGGUCAAAUGAGGCUGUGGACUCCAUGAAGGCUGGCUAAAGAUUCAGACCUAGAGACUCAAACAUGAGUCUCUAGGUCACGUUUGCUGACUGUAACCAAAUACUGAAUUAUUUAUUUUUGAGAGUGUGUGAAAUAAAAUUUGUUAAAACUCAAA